RNAcentral lists this ribosomal RNA (250 nucleotides) under uncultured prokaryote. RNAcentral's name for it is "partial 16S ribosomal RNA". It matches the Rfam family "Bacterial small subunit ribosomal RNA", at positions 525 to 775 of the family's 1533-position model. The record is from RNAcentral.
ACGUAGGAGGCAGCGUUAUCCGGAAUUACUGGGCGUAAAGCGUGCGCAGGCGGUUCGCUAAGACAGGUGUGAAAUCCCCGGGCUUAACCUGGGAAUGGCGUUUUGAACUGGCAGUCCAGAGUGCGUCAGAGGGGGGUGGAAUUCCACGUGUAGCAGUGAAAUGCGUAGAGAUGUGGAGGAACACCGAUGGCGAAGGCAGCCCCCUGGGAUGACACUGACGCUCAUGUACGAAAGCGUGGGUAGCAAACAG